CUUAAUUGGGCGUUAAGUUGCAGGGUAUAGACCCGAAACCCGGUGAUCUAGCCAUGGGCAGGUUGAAGGUUGGGUAACACUAACUGGAGGACCGAACCGACUAAUGUUGAAAAAUUAGCGGAUGACCUGUGGCUGGGGGUGAAAGGCCAAUCAAACCGGGAGAUAGCUGGUUCUCCCCGAAAGCUAUUUAGGUAGCGCCUCGUGAAUUCAUCUCCGGGGGUAGAGCACUGUUUCGGCUAGGGGGCCAUCCCGGCUUACCAACCCGAUGCAAACUGCGAAUACCGGAGAAUGUUAUCACGGGAGACACACGGCGGGUGCUAACGUCCGUCGUGAAGAGGGAAACAACCCAGACCGCCAGCUAAGGUCCCAAAGUCAUGGUUAAGUGGGAAACGAUGUGGGAAGGCCCAGACAGCCAGGAUGUUGGCUUAGAAGCAGCCAUCAUUUAAAGAAAGCGUAAUAGCUCACUGGUCGAGUCGGCCUGCGCGGAAGAUGUAACGGGGCUAAACCAUGCACCGAAGCUGCGGCAGCGACACUGUGUGUUGUUGGGUA
Molecule: ribosomal RNA, 549 nt
Filed under: Salmonella enterica subsp. enterica serovar Enteritidis
Lineage: Bacteria; Pseudomonadati; Pseudomonadota; Gammaproteobacteria; Enterobacterales; Enterobacteriaceae
Description: partial 23S ribosomal RNA
Rfam family: Bacterial large subunit ribosomal RNA
Source: RNAcentral